Molecule: ribosomal RNA, 207 nt
Filed under: uncultured bacterium
Lineage: Bacteria
Description: partial 16S ribosomal RNA
Rfam family: Bacterial small subunit ribosomal RNA
Source: RNAcentral
UGCGUAGGUGGUGAGGUAAGUCGGAUGUGAAAUCUCCGGGCUCAACCCGGAAACGGCAUUGGAAACUACCUUGCUGGAGGUUUUGAGGGGGGACUGGAAUUCUCGGUGUAGCAGUGAAAUGCGUAGACAUCGAGAGGAACACCAGUGGCGAAGGCGAGUCCCUGGAAAAAACCUGACACCGAGGCACGAAAGCUAGGGGAGCAAACA